GCCACCAUAGCUCAGUGGCAGAGCACUGGUCUUGUAAACCAGUGGUCGUGAGUUCGAUCCUCAAUGGUGGCU
RNAcentral lists this transfer RNA (72 nucleotides) under Limulus polyphemus (Atlantic horseshoe crab). RNAcentral describes it as "tRNA-Thr". It matches the Rfam family "tRNA". From Rfam's summary of the family: Transfer RNA (tRNA) molecules are approximately 80 nucleotides in length. Their secondary structure includes four short double-helical elements and three loops (D, anti-codon, and T loops). The record is from RNAcentral. Lineage: Eukaryota; Metazoa; Arthropoda; Merostomata; Xiphosura; Limulidae.